RNAcentral lists this ribosomal RNA (253 nucleotides) under uncultured bacterium. RNAcentral's name for it is "partial 16S ribosomal RNA". It matches the Rfam family "Bacterial small subunit ribosomal RNA", at positions 524 to 776 of the family's 1533-position model. The record is from RNAcentral.
GACAGAGGUGGCAAGCGUUGUUCGGAUUUAUUGGGCGUAAAGAGCGCGUAGGCGGUCUUUUAAGUCGGGGGUGAAAUCCCGGGGCUUAACCCCGGAAUUGCCUCCGAUACUGGAAGACUUGAGUGCGGGAGAGGAUAGUGGAAUUCCCAGUGUAGAGGUGAAAUUCGUAGAUAUUGGGAAGAACACCAGUGGCGAAGGCAGCUAUCUGGACCGCAACUGACGCUGAGGCGCGAAAGCGUGGGGAGCAAACAGG